GAGGAACGCUGGCGGCGUGCUUAACACAUGCAAGUCGAACGGAAAGGCCCUGCUUUUGUGGGGUGCUCGAGUGGCGAACGGGUGAGUAACACGUGAGUAACCUGCCCUUGACUUUGGGAUAACUUCAGGAAACUGGGGCUAAUACCGGCUAGGAGCUCCUGCUGCAUGGUGGGGGUUGGAAAGUUUCGGCGGUUGGGGAUGGACUCGCGGCUUAUCAGCUUGUUGGUGGGGUAGUGGCUUACCAAGGCUUUGACGGGUAGCCGGCCUGAGAGGGUGACCGGCCACAUUGGGACUGAGAUACGGCCCAGACUCCUACGGGAGGCAGCAGUGGGGAAUAUUGCACAAUGGGCGGAAGCCUGAUGCAGCAACGCCGCGUGCGGGAUGACGGCCUUCGGGUUGUAAACCGCUUUCGCCUGUGACGAAGCGUGAGUGACGGUAAUGGGUAAAGAAGCACCGGCUAACUACGUG
RNAcentral lists this ribosomal RNA (468 nucleotides) under uncultured bacterium. Its description in RNAcentral is "partial 16S ribosomal RNA". It matches the Rfam family "Bacterial small subunit ribosomal RNA", at positions 31 to 507 of the family's 1533-position model. The record is from RNAcentral.